This 2561-nucleotide ribosomal RNA is filed under the name Clostridioides difficile. Its description in RNAcentral is "23S ribosomal RNA". It matches the Rfam family "Bacterial large subunit ribosomal RNA", at positions 340 to 2925 of the family's 2925-position model. The record is from RNAcentral. Lineage: Bacteria; Bacillati; Bacillota; Clostridia; Peptostreptococcales; Peptostreptococcaceae.
GUUUGGAAAGACCCACCACAGAAGGUAAUAGUCCUGUAUGUUAAACGAGAAGACUUCAGAUAUGAUCCAGAGUACCACGGGACACGUGAAACCCUGUGGGAAGCAGGAGGGACCACCCUCCAAGGCUAAAUACUACCUAGUGACCGAUAGCGUAUAGUACCGUGAGGGAAAGGUGAAAAGAACCCCGGGAGGGGAGUGAAAUAGAACCUGAAACCCUGCACUUACAAGCUGUGGAAGCACAUUUCUUGUGUGACCGCGUACUUUUUGUAGAACGGGCCAACGAGUUACGUUAAGUAGCAAGGUUAAGCACUUAAGGUGUGGAGCCGUAGCGAAAGCGAGUUUUAACUGAGCGUUCAGUUACUUGACGUAGACCCGAAACCGGGCGACCUACCCAUGAGCAGGAUGAAGCGAAAGUAAAAUUUCGUGGAGGUCCGAACCCACGAGCGUUGAAAAGCUCGGGGAUGACUUGUGGGUAGCGGUGAAAUUCCAAUCGAGCCCGGAGAUAGCUGGUUCUCCCCGAAAUAGCUUUAGGGCUAGCCUCAAGGUGAGAGAUACGGAGGUAGAGCACUGAAUGUCCUAGGGGGUAUUGCACCUACCGAAGACUAUCAAACUCCGAAUGCCGUCAUCUUAUACUUGGGAGUCAGACUGUGGGUGAUAAGAUUCAUAGUCGAAAGGGCAACAGCCCAGAUCGUCAGCUAAGGUCCCUAAAUGUAAGUUAAGUGGUAAAGGAUGUGGGAUUGCACAGACAACCAGGAUGUUGGCUUAGAAGCAGCCACUCAUUCAAAGAGUGCGUAAUAGCUCACUGGUCGAGUGAUCCUGCGCCGAAGAUUUCCGGGGCUAAAACUUACUACCGAAGCUACGGCAUCAGUAAUGAUGGGUAGGGGAGCUUCCCAUACGGGUUGAAGCAUGACCGUAAGGACAUGUGGACAGUAUGGGAGUGAGAAUGUUGGCAUGAGUAGCGAGAUGUGGGUGAGAAUCCCACAGGCCGUAAACCCAAGGUUUCCAGGGGAAGGUUCGUCCGCCCUGGGUUAGUCGGGACCUAAGCUGAGGCCGAAAGGCGUAGGUGAUGGACAACAGGUUGAUAUUCCUGUACUACCGAUAACCGUUUGAGAGAAGGGAUGACACAGUAGGAUAAGCUAAGCACACUGUUGGUUAUGUGUGCCCAAGCAUUGAGGCAGUCAAAGUAGGCAAAUCCGCUUUGAUAAUGCUGGGAUGUGAUGGGGAGCGAAAUUUAGUAGCGAAGUAGCUGAUUUCACACUGUCAAGAAAAGUCUCUAUCGAGGUUAAAGGUACCCGUACCGCAAACCGACACAGGUGGGUGAGGAGAGUAUCCUAAGGCCAGCGAGAGAACUGUUGUUAAGGAACUCGGCAAAAUGACCCCGUAACUUAGGGAUAAGGGGUGCCACCAUCAGGUGGCCGCAGAGAAUAGGCCCAAGCGACUGUUUACCAAAAACAUAGGUUUCUGCUAAGUCGCAAGACGAUGUAUAGGAGCUGACGCCUGCCCGGUGCUGGAAGGUUAAGGGGAUCUGUUAGAGCAAUCGAAGCAGUGAACUUAAGCCCCAGUAAACGGCGGCCGUAACUAUAACGGUCCUAAGGUAGCGAAAUUCCUUGUCGGGUAAGUUCCGACCCGCACGAAAGGCGUAACGAUUUGGGCACUGUCUCAACAACAGACUCGGUGAAAUUGUAAUUCCGGUGAAGAUGCCGGAUACCUGCGACAGGACGGAAAGACCCCAUGGAGCUUUACUGUAGCUUGACAUUGGGUCUUGGUACUACAUGUACAGGAUAGGUGGGAGGCUUUGAAACCAGGACGCCAGUUUUGGCGGAGCCAUCCUUGGGAUACCACCCUUGUAGUACUGGGACUCUAACCAUAGGCCAUGAAUCUGGUCUUGGGACACUGUCAGGUGGGCAGUUUGACUGGGGCGGUCGCCUCCCAAAAGGUAACGGAGGCGCUCAAAGGUUCUCUCAGUACGGUCGGAAAUCGUACGUAGAGUGUAAAGGCAAAAGAGAGCUUGAUUGCAAGACAUACAGGUCGAGCAAGGAUGAAAAUCGGACUUAGUGAUCCGGUGGUUCUGCGUGGAAGGGCCAUCGCUCAACGGAUAAAAGCUACCCUGGGGAUAACAGGCUUAUCUCCCCCAAGAGUCCACAUCGACGGGGAGGUUUGGCACCUCGAUGUCGGCUCAUCACAUCCUGGGGCUGUAGUAGGUCCCAAGGGUUGGGCUGUUCGCCCAUUAAAGUGGUACGCGAGCUGGGUUCAGAACGUCGUGAGACAGUUCGGUCCCUAUCCGUCGCAGGCGUAGGAAAUUUGAGAAGACCUGUCCUUAGUACGAGAGGACCGGGAUGGACGUACCUCUGGUGUACCAGUUGUUCUGCCAAGGGCAUGGCUGGGUAGCUAUGUACGGAAUGGAUAAGCGCUGAAAGCAUCUAAGCGCGAAGCCAACUUCAAGAUAAGAUUUCCCACCGCAAGGGUAAGACCCCAGAAAGACUAUCUGGUUGAUAGGUCGAAGGUGUAAGUGCAGCAAUGUAUUUAGCUUAUCGAUACUAAUAGGUCGAGGACUUGACCAA